ACUUUGUGAUAAGUUAUCUUUAUCCAGUUAUCACCGAAAAAGCGCUACUAUUCGUAAGUGCCUCCCCCAACCCCCUUUACGCCUUUAUUUGCUUGGCUCUUUUGUUUUGUUUUUACUUCUCCCCUUAGCAGAAGACGUAUCCCGAUUUAAAUCAACUGACUUCGUUAAUCGCGUUUUUACAAAUGCACUGCAUUAACCGGUUAACUAUAUUUCAACACAUUGUUUUUAUAUUGUGGUCCAUUUCUAGAAUUUUUAACUAUUCUUCAAAGAAAUUGGCAGAAGUGUUAACCAGUCAAUCGAUUUUCAACAUGUUAAGGACGGAGAUGAGACCUUUUGCCCAGUAUGCACAUACAUUUGAACAGUGGAAGGAAGAUGAAUCUUGUGUGGAAUCAGCUUAAGGACAAAUUCAUAUUUGCAGUUGUCUAUGACCUUGAGGGGAAAUAAGCCAUUACAUGUACAAGAUCGACCAUUGUAUUGAAGAAAGUCUCAGGCUUUAAUUUCAUUCACUGAAGUAAACAUUUAGGAAGAGUUGAUAUAUCCACAAAUUGCAUGUGUGAUUGAACUCAAUUGGAACAGGAUAUCCACUUUAAACUUCCAGGUCAGUGGCUUUCAUUUCAGUCUGUUCCUCUCAUAUUCAUUUUAGCUGCCCAGAAAUCUGGGGAGGAGAGGGCAGCCAGAUAGAGAAAAUAAGAAAUUCUGACCCUUUGCUAUUUGUUUCUUAGUUAUCGUAGAAUCUCGCCACCUUCAUAUGGCAAAGUGUAAAGCGUUCAAUUCUGCAUUGUCAACCCACUUGCGAUUGUGUCUGAUUUCUUUAGCAAGUGCAAUCUAAUUUGAACAUCAAGUUAGUUUCGAUUCUAGUUUAGCCGUGUCGUUUUGAAAACAGUUUCCAGCUCAAUAAAGGCCAACAGAAAUUGUGUGGACAAGCCUCAGAAGUGGAAGCUCGUCCAGGCAAUUUCUUUGUUGUUUAUUAUGUCCUUCAAGACAUGGUCGAUAACAGAAAAAUUGAAUCAAGAAGAAUUUUAUUUGAAAUCGCGAUUCAAGCUCGAGUACAUCAACAUAGCAAAUACGAUUUGUCCCUACGUUAACAUUCGUAGCUAUUGGGUCAAGUCUUCCUCUAGGAAAACGCCGGUGAAAUGAGUGAAACGGCGACCGUAGAGCAACACCUUGUCUGACAUUUCAGAGAUCUCCACCCAGACUUGAUCGUUUUUGAUCAAACCGAGUGUCGAUUCGAGCGAAAACGUUUCGAACGUACCGCCCGUGUUGGUCGCGUGAGAAUAGCCAGAGCCGAUCCAAUUGCCAUUUUUGAUCAAACUGAUUUGAAAGCGAUAGGAAGGCACGACGGGAGUCUCGUUGUACAGUCCGGGAGUCAGUUGCGUGUAAGGGAAAUAGGCCACUCCCGAAAUGGAGAAACUGUACUUGCCCGCUCGAGGUGCCACGAAUUUGCCCGUUUGCAAAUUCAUGGCUCCUCCGACAUUCAAUUGCUCCACGUCGAACGCAAUUGGGAUGUUAGUUUCCAUAAACGGACUGCUCCUCGUCACGUAGAAAUAAGUGGACGCUGAUUUCACAUCAACGUAACCGAUCCAUUUUUGCAUUUCUAUUUAGAAUUCGAAUGGAGGGCUAGAAUGAAAAUGCAAUUCAGAGAUUUAAUAAUUAUACCUUUUGCAUUGGGAUGAAAAUUGCAGUAAACUGUUUCAACCGAUCGAGUUCCCAUAACGGAAUACAAUCCGCUAAUUCGAUGUCCAAUGUGUUGCAAAUCCGAACAAGAUGUUGGCAUUUUUCCAAUGUCCGUCACGCCGCUAGUUCUCUCUAUUUUCAUUUCAAUUCCCACAGUUUAAAACAAACAAGAAUCGCAUCGUAAAUGUAUCGUCAGACUUACCGUUUAACUUGAUCGCUAAAUCGUCCACGAUGGCUUUUGUUUCUGCAAAAAUCAAAGCGAAAUGUUGCAUGCAAAUCGUCAUCAAAAACUUUCUUAAUUGAAGUCACGAGAAAGACUUGCGUACCGUGCAACUUGAUCUCCACCUCGUCGCUGUGCCGUUCGUUUUGCAAGGAAAUCACAAUCGCAUUUUGCUGUUGCAUUUUCGAUUCGAGGCCAAUCACUUUCGUUUCUAAACGGACCAUUUUAGCUUCCAAAACUUCUUUAAUUUCAGCCUUCCCACCCAACCCCAAAAAAACGUAAAUUUUCAAUUUUAUUCGAUUAAAAAAAAUUUAUUUCACUUACGUAAUUUUUCGCCAAUUGUUGAACAGUUUCUUCGAAGGACUGGCCGUUCGCGUAAAUUGUGCAAGCGAACAAUAGCUAAAACAAAUUAGGCCAUUUUCUUUCUCUUCCUGUUUAGGCACAGCGCACUGUUGCAAUCCUUUCUAGAUGACGAUCACUGUCGAAUUGUCGUUUCUACUCACUGGAACACGUCAAUACUGACAAGCAAAAAAAAAGAAAAGGGGGAGGGUUAAAAAAAAAAAGCCACUAGAAUUUUGGAUAUCAUUCACGUACCUCCCCCCUUCUGUUGGGGAGAGCUGCACUCCUUUUUGAGGUACAACUCAAUUCAUCACCUGGUAUCGAAAGUUGUCGUAAAACUUUAUGGCCAUCUGGGCAAGCUCGGCGCUUGGUCGUUGGAUCAAUGAUGGAUGUUUGGAAACGAGUGAACGACACACGUCACGAACGCUUUUGGGGUUACAGUUUUCUAAAGGGUGAGUAAAAGAUGACGAGCAUUAUGUUGUGGAAUUCAUUGCGCAUUAAGAAUCAUGUGAAUUUCAAGUUUUUGAGAUCGUCGUUGGUGAUUUGGGAAAUAAUGCGAGAGAUUGCGGUUAGGGUGGGCUUAAUUUUGCUAAAUUUGAUGUUACGUGUACUUGAAUGGAUUACAGAGAAGCGAGCCGUCUUUAUAACUUAUGGAUGUACGUUAGAGUUGAUUCCGAUUUGCGAUUCCUCACGAACAAUAACAGCUUCUUAAAGGAAUUUAUGUUAACUGUGCAUUGAUUUUUUGUUAAUUUUAUUCUUGAAAAUUGCAUGUAGGUUUCUUUUGAGGGGACCGACAUUCACGAGACUUUAGUCAUGCAUAUGAUACGAUAUAGACUGGGCUAUAUCGUAUCGAAAGCACCAACUGUUGUAUCGUUGAUCGUUUGAAUCAUGUUAAUCUAUAAAGGGAAAAAGAUUUAUAUUUUUCUGUUCCAGUAUCUCCAACUGGACAUCCUUUCUCUGCAGAGCUGCCUUCAUUUCAAUUUCAUACAUAAACUAAAAGGAACAAAGUUGCUCCUUUACGAUAAAGCCAGCCAUCACACAAGAUAAUCACAAAGCCAAAAUAAAUGGGAUGACGAUAGUACAUCACGUCAUGUUGUACCAGCCCACUGGAUUACCUUUUAUUACGGACUCGUACUAAUCGAUUUCCCCAUCAUAUAUCGAUUUGGUAGUUGUUUCCAUCCUCUCCACAGAUUGUUCUGCACGUGAAGCAAAUCGAGGAUUUCUGAUGGUAUGUGUUUACUAAUGGUUUUCGUGUUCAAACAUUGGAACAACAGAAUGCACACCUACAUGAUUUUGGACAUUCAUUGGACCACAAAACUUCCAGUAGUCCUAGAGAAAGUCUAUUGAAUGAAUUUCUGUAAAAAAAAAAUAACCAAAGAAGGUUAUGAGGCUUAAUUAACGAUUGAGGUUGGAAAAUUUUUCAUACAUUAGAAUUAAUGACUUGGAAUCCCAGGAGCUGGAACCAGAAAACAAGGUUUGAAGCAAUUAGGCAACGUGUAAUUUGUAUGAAAAAAGGAGAAGGGGUAACAAAAAAAAAGUAUAUAAAGCCGUCUGAAUACUAUGUUUGAACAUGCAGCAUCUUGAUGGUGUCUAUUUCAUUGAAGAGGAUUGUCCAAUCAUGACUCUGAAUACAGAUGUGAUGGAGUUCCUGAUUGUGGAGAAGUUCACGCUCCAGACUUCUUGAGUGGUAAAGCCUAUCUUGUAAAUUUAUGUUAUAUAUAAAGUAUAGUUAUUGUUUUAUGUAUUAAAAUUGAUAUUAAUGUAAAGCCACAGAUUUUAUUCCUAAUUGUCUACAACACAGCUGGUAUGUUGUGUUUUUGUGUGGUAAGAUUCAGUUCAUUUUUCAGGUGGAUGUGUUUCGUUUAGGCUGGGUGAGUGGCAAGCUUUAUUUUGUUCGUAGUUGAUAUGAGUCACUUAUUUUAAGUUUAAAAUGUAGUGCACUGUUGUUGGGUGUUAGUAAGACAUAAUUUUUUUCCAGUUUCUUGUCUCUUCUUCUGCAGAGUUGAGAUUGUGGUAAUUACAUACACUUGUUGGUUUUAUGCCACAUAUCCUUGAAUGAUAGAUUUAUAUGGUGCACCUGUUGCAUGCAGUGGCUCUGUAAUAAGGCUGUGGGGCUAGUUUCUAUUUCUAUUCUAUAUUAUUCUAUUUCUUAAAUGGUUAGCAUGAGACGUUGGCGCUAGCCGCAUUGCUAAAUUUCCAUGGGUGGGUUGGAUCAGGUAAUUUAUGGAUUGUACGGUUUUUGAGCUGUGAUGUUUUAAGCAUAUGACUGACAGUCCAUGAGGCUAUGAUGUCAAUCAGGAUACUGAGCUCUUAUUAAUGCCGUGUUUUUAUUACCAUUUGAAUGAAUAGUCGUUGUAUUUUUCACGUGUCGUUCCAGGUUUUUUAAACAAGUGGUUGCGUGGACAUUUCAUGGCACUGUUCAUACCAAAUUGGCCGCGAUGUUGCAUCGAGCAGCCUUCAUCGAUUUGUCCCAAUAAUUUUGGAUGUCAAAGCUUCUCGAAUUUCAUCCUGAUAGGAACAGUGAUGUAAUGUAACUCCAGAGCCUCCAAUCGAUUGUCUCUGUUUUCCAGUUGCAAUAUUUUACUCUCCAAAAGUGAAAUAAUUUCAGUCUUGACAGA
This is a long non-coding RNA of Daphnia carinata, 4851 nucleotides long. RefSeq lists it as uncharacterized. NCBI's taxonomy places the organism in Eukaryota, Metazoa, Arthropoda, Branchiopoda, Diplostraca, Daphniidae. The transcript has 8 exons. The record is from RefSeq and is a predicted model, not a curated record.